RNAcentral lists this ribosomal RNA (251 nucleotides) under uncultured prokaryote. Its description in RNAcentral is "partial 16S rRNA". It matches the Rfam family "Bacterial small subunit ribosomal RNA", at positions 525 to 775 of the family's 1533-position model. The record is from RNAcentral.
ACGUAGGGGGCAAGCGUUGUCCGGAAUGAUUGGGCGUAAAGGGCACGUAGGCGGCCUGGUAAGUCUGGAGUGAAAGUCCUGCUUUUAAGGUGGGAAUUGCUUUGGAUACUGUCGGGCUUGAGUGCAGGAGAGGUAAGUGGAAUUCCCGGUUGUGGGGUUAAAAGCGUUAAAAACGGGAGGGACCCCAGUGGCGAAGGCGACUUACUGGACUGUAACUGACGCUGAGGCGCGAAAGUGUGGGGAGCAAACAG